Canis lupus familiaris (dog) is the source of this 453-nucleotide long non-coding RNA. RefSeq lists it as uncharacterized. The record is from RefSeq and is a predicted model, not a curated record. Lineage: Eukaryota; Metazoa; Chordata; Mammalia; Carnivora; Canidae. The transcript has 3 exons.
CUAGCGAGACACUUCUCGGCACUGCAGCCCAUACUUGUAGAAUCCGUAUGUCUCCAUGGAUUAGAGAAGCCACAUGUGAGCUGCUUGCUCGUGGCCAUCUGAGAUUCCCAACGACUAAGUCUCAUAGUCUGCUGGAACCGUAGCAGGCUGUGAAAAACCUUUUUCUGAUCAAACUUCUCACAGAAUGCUUUUUACUGUCCUGUCUUGGCAACUCUCCGUGUCAGAACCACCGGGGCUGAUGCUGAGCAGCGUGUAGCGAUACAUCUGGGAUGUGAUGGUGAUGGUCUGGUGCGUCGCUGCUGCCCUGGCGUAUCUGUGUUGAAGAACGCUGAAAGAUCCAACUUCCAUGAUUUUUAUCAUUAUUAUAUUAAUUAUUCCAACCCCAUUUACCAAUUGAUUUGAAAUGUUAUAGAGUCAUAACCUGAAAUCACACAGAUAACAUUUGCAUCUCGU